Non-coding RNA from Pelobates cultripes (western spadefoot toad), 146 nucleotides. The record is from the annotation of a GenBank genome assembly. NCBI's taxonomy places the organism in Eukaryota, Metazoa, Chordata, Amphibia, Anura, Pelobatidae.
UAAUGCAGGGCUGUCCAACCUGCGGCCCCCCAGAUGUAGCUAAACUACAACUCCCAUGAUUCCCGGGCUAUCUGUUUAAUUGAAAGAAUCAUGGGAGUUGUAGUUCAGCAACAUCUGGGGGCCGCAGGUUGGACAGGCCCGAUUUA